Long non-coding RNA from Cicer arietinum (chickpea), 600 nucleotides. RefSeq lists it as uncharacterized. NCBI's taxonomy places the organism in Eukaryota, Viridiplantae, Streptophyta, Magnoliopsida, Fabales, Fabaceae. The record is from RefSeq and is a predicted model, not a curated record.
UAUAUUUUGUUGACACAUUUUCUAAUGUUAAUUUUAGUUCUAACACGAAUAAUAUUUAAUUUAGGUAUUACUUAGAAAAUUUCCCAUUCAUCUCUAUAAAUAGCCUCUUGUAUGUAUUGCUUGUUGAUUAAUAACUUGAAAGAGAGAAUGGUUUAUGGCAUCAAGUGCGUCUAUUUUUUCAUUGCAUUGCUAUGCGUGGCAUCCAUUUUGAAUCCAGUCAUCUUUAUAAAUAGACUCUUGUAUAUAUUGCUUGUUGAUUGAUAACUCGAAAGAGAGAAUGGUUUAUGGCAUCAAGUGCGUCUGUGUUUUCAUUGCAUUGCUAUGCAUGGCAUCCAUUUUGAAUCCAGUUGUAGGAGGAGUAAUUGAUGCAACAAGUAAUGAUGAACAGCGCUUUCAGAUUUGCACCUCCCGCGGGCCAUGUCCAACUGUUAGUAAGUUCGAGUGUGGUGAUUAUUGUUGGCACGUUUUGGUUAUUCCUUAUGGUGGCCAGUGCGUGGGAUAUGAAUGUUGUUGUUAUAGUAGACCUCCGAUAAAGUGAUUUUAGUGUAAUUUGUGCACUUCUGAAAAAUAAAUACAUCAAUUUUAGUUUUUAAUAUCAUA